This 522-nucleotide ribosomal RNA is filed under the name uncultured bacterium. RNAcentral's name for it is "bacterial SSU rRNA". It matches the Rfam family "Bacterial small subunit ribosomal RNA", at positions 8 to 525 of the family's 1533-position model. The record is from RNAcentral.
AGAGUUUGAUCAUGGCUCAGAUUGAACGCUGGCGGCAUGCCUAACACAUGCAAGUCGAACGGCAGCGCGGACUUCGGUCUGGCGGCGAGUGGCGGACGGGUGAGGAAUACAUGGGAAUCUGCCCAGUCGUGGGGGAUAACGUAGGGAAACUUACGCUAAUACCGCAUGCGACCGAGAGGUGAAAGCGGGGGAUCUUCGGACCUCGCGCGAUUGGAUGAGCCCAUGUCGGAUUAGCUAGUUGGCGGGGUAAAGGCCCACCAAGGCGACGAUCCGUAGCUGGUCUGAGAGGAUGAUCAGCCACACUGGAACUGAGACACGGUCCAGACUCCUACGAGAGACAGCAGUGGGGAAUAUUGGACAAUGGGCGCAAGCCUGAUCCAGCCAUACCGCGUGGGUGAAGAAGGCCUUCGGGUUGUAAAGCCCUUUUGUACGGAAAGAAAGCUUCCAGGUUAAUACCCUGGGAGGAUGACGGUACCGUAAGAAUAAGCACCGGCUAACUUCGUGCCAGCAGCCGCGGUAAUA